Molecule: ribosomal RNA, 253 nt
Filed under: uncultured bacterium
Lineage: Bacteria
Description: partial 16S ribosomal RNA
Rfam family: Bacterial small subunit ribosomal RNA
Source: RNAcentral
UACGUAGGGAGCAAGCGUUGUCCGGAAUUACUGGGUGUAAAGGGAGUGUAGGCGGGACGGCAAGUCAGAUGUGAAAUUUAUGGGCUCAACCCAUAACGUGCAUUUGAAACUGCUGUUCUUGAGUGAAGUAGAGGUUGGCGGAAUUCCUAGUGUAGCGGUGGAAUGCGUAGAUAUUAGGAGGAACAUCAGUGGCGAAGGCGGCCAACUGGGCUUUUACUGACGCUGAGGCUCGAAAGCGUGGGGAGCAAACAGG